This 119-nucleotide ribosomal RNA is filed under the name Glycine max (soybean). Lineage: Eukaryota; Viridiplantae; Streptophyta; Magnoliopsida; Fabales; Fabaceae. The record is from RNAcentral.
AGGUGCGAUCAUACCAGCACUACUGCACCCGAUCCCAUCAGAACUCCGCAAUUAAGCGUGCUUGGGCGAGAGUAGUGCUCGGUUGGGUGACCUCCUUGAAAGUCCUCGUGUUGAAUCUC